GAUGAACGCUGGCGGCGUGCCUAAUACACGCCAGUCGAGCGAACGGACGAGAAGCUUGCUUCUCUGAUGUUAGCGGCGGACGGGUGAGUAACACGUGGAUAACCUACCUAUAAGACUGGGAUAACUUCGGGAAACCGGAGCUAAUACCGGAUGAUAUUUUGAACCGCAUGGUUCAAAAGUGAAAGACGGUCUUGCUGUCACUUAUAGAUGGAUCCGCGCUGCAUUAGCUAGUUGGUAAGGUAACGGCUUACCAAGGCAACGAUGCAUAGCCGACCUGAGAGGGUGAUCGGCCACACUGGAACGGAGACACGGUCCAGACUCCUACGGGAGGCAGCAGUAGGGAAUCUUCCGCAAUGGGCGAAAGCCUGACGGAGCAACGCCGCGUGAGUGAUGAAGGUCUUCGGAUCGUAAAACUCUGUUAUUAGGGAAGAACAUAGGUGUAAGUAACUGUGCACAUCUUGACGGUACCUAAUCAGAAAGCCACGGCUAACUACGUGC
Molecule: ribosomal RNA, 498 nt
Filed under: uncultured bacterium
Lineage: Bacteria
Description: partial 16S ribosomal RNA
Rfam family: Bacterial small subunit ribosomal RNA
Source: RNAcentral